UUCCCAUUUAAGAUUACCACAUACAUUCCAAGGUUUUCCACUACCAGAGAUCGCCUUACAUGCAUCAAAUAGUAGAAUGCCUGUAGAAUGUAUGGUAUUUAUCACAGUCCUAUUUAUCAAGGUCCCCUGGGAGUUACUGUUCCGAAUUACCAACCAAAUUGUACGAGGUUGGAAUUGGAGAUCAAAACAUUUAGGCUCUCCUGAUAUUGGUUUGCAGACACUGUAAUCUAUACCUAAAUAUCUACACUUAGAUACAGAUCCCCUACAUUCGUACUGUGAGUGCCAAAUGAGAGUUUGGGAUAUUUGGUUACCUGUUUUCGUAGUCUUAAAAAAUGCCUAAACACAUAAUAUAACAUAUUAUUUCAGAAGUCCUCAUUUCUAUUUUUUGACCGUGUGAUGGCACCUCAGCUUCCCGAUUGUGAGGGCUGCAAGGAUUGUCAUUCUUCUGAUCCUCACUUUUCUUCACAGAGGUCCCUUCGAGACACUCUGACUAUGACACGUAGGUAGGGGGUCAGGCUGUAAUAUGGCCGUCAAAACACCUACUUGCUGAUAUUUGUUGUUACUUUCAACUAAGAUGUCCCAAUAUCUCCUCGUAUUAUAUCUCACUCCGACUGAGUUACCCGCUUUAACCGGAUCUUGCAAGGAUUUUCAGAAUCUGGAAUAGCUUGCCAAGAAUAUGCCUCUGGUUUAACCCUAGAACAGUGAUGGCGAACCUUUUUGAGCCCGAGU
Molecule: non-coding RNA, 729 nt
Organism: Pelobates cultripes (western spadefoot toad)
Lineage: Eukaryota; Metazoa; Chordata; Amphibia; Anura; Pelobatidae
Source: the annotation of a GenBank genome assembly